GAUGAACGCUAGCGGCAGGCUUAACACAUGCAAGUCGAGGGGCAGCAUAAUGAAGUAGCAAUACGGAAUUGAUGGCGACCGGCGCACGGGUGCGUAACGCGUAUGUAACCUACCCUUAACAGGGGGAUAACACUGAGAAAUUGGUACUAAUACCCCAUAACACUUCGGAGGGCAUCCUCUGUAGUUGAAAGUUCCGGCGGUUAAGGAUGGACAUGCGUUGUAUUAGCUAGAUGGUGAGGUAACGGCUCACCAUGGCGACGAUACAUAGGGGGACUGAGAGGUUAACCCCCCACACUGGUACUGAGACACGGACCAAACUCCUACGGGAGCAGCAGUGAGGAAUAUUGGACAAUGGAUGGAAAUCUGAUCCAGCCAUGCCGCGUGCAGGAUGACGGCCCUAUGGGUCUUAAACUGCUUUUGUACGGGAGCAAUAAGUACUACGUGUAGUAUGAUGAGAGUACCGUACGAAUAAGCAUCGGCUAACUCCGUG
Molecule: ribosomal RNA, 490 nt
Filed under: uncultured bacterium
Lineage: Bacteria
Description: bacterial SSU rRNA
Rfam family: Bacterial small subunit ribosomal RNA
Source: RNAcentral